UGGCUAUGCGCUUUGGCAGUGUGGUUAGCUGGUUGUGUGGCCAAUUGACAAAUCACAGCCACUAUCUUCACUGCCGCCGCGACAAGC
Molecule: microRNA precursor, 87 nt
Filed under: Drosophila virilis
Lineage: Eukaryota; Metazoa; Arthropoda; Insecta; Diptera; Drosophilidae
Description: microRNA dvi-mir-34 precursor
Gene: dvi-mir-34
Rfam family: mir-34 microRNA precursor family (bases 7-83)
About the family: Human mir-34a was discovered computationally and later experimentally verified. The mature sequence is excised from the 5' arm of the hairpin.
Source: miRBase by way of RNAcentral